UGGGGAAUAUUGGACAAUGGGCGAAAGCCUGAUCCAGCCAUGCCGCGUGUGUGAAGAAGGUCUUCGGAUUGUAAAGCACUUUAAGUUGGGAGGAAGGGCAGUAAGCGAAUACCUUGCUGUUUUGACGUUACCGACAGAAUAAGCACCGGCUAACUCUGUGCCAGCAGCCGCGGUAAUACAGAGGGUGCAAGCGUUAAUCGGAAUUACUGGGCGUAAAGCGCGCGUAGGUGGUUCGUUAAGUUGAAUGUGAAAGCCCCGGGCUCAACCUGGGAACUGCAUCCAAAACUGGCGAGCUAGAGUAUGGCAGAGGGUGGUGGAAUUUCCUGUUUAGCGGUGAAAUGCGUAGAUAUAGGAAGGAACACCAGUGGCGAAGGCGACCACCUGGGCUCAUACUGACACUGAGGUGCGAAAGCGUGGGGAGCAAACAGG
RNAcentral lists this ribosomal RNA (429 nucleotides) under Pseudomonadota bacterium. RNAcentral's name for it is "Proteobacteria bacterium partial 16S ribosomal RNA". It matches the Rfam family "Bacterial small subunit ribosomal RNA", at positions 355 to 776 of the family's 1533-position model. The record is from RNAcentral. Lineage: Bacteria; Pseudomonadati; Pseudomonadota.